This 520-nucleotide small RNA is filed under the name Pan troglodytes (chimpanzee). RNAcentral describes it as "retained intron". Lineage: Eukaryota; Metazoa; Chordata; Mammalia; Primates; Hominidae. The record is from RNAcentral.
UUUGAAAUGUAGUCGCUGUCAGGGUUGAAUCAAGUGGGCUGUGCUGCUACCCUGCCUCAUUCUUCUGCCUUCACGCCUCUUAAGGUCAUGCUUCACCCCUUCCUCCAUCUGCUGCACCUACCACUGAUUCUACAGAUUCCAUAACAGGACAGAAUUCAAGACAGAGAGAAGAAGAGCUGGAAUUAAUAGACCAACUGCGUAAACAUAUUGAGUACCGGUUGAAAGUGUCUCUACCUUGUGAUCUCGGAGCAGCUCUAACUGACGGUGUUGUUCUUUGCCAUUUGGCCAAUCAUGUGCGACCUCGAUCUGUCCCAAGCAUUCAUGUUCCCUCACCAGCUGUACCUAAAUUAACAAUGGCGAAAUGCAGGCGAAAUGUGGAAAAUUUCCUAGAAGCUUGCAGAAAAAUUGGUGUACCUCAGGACAAUCUUUGUUCCCCUUCCGACAUCCUUCAGCUAAACCUCAGCGUUAAAAGAACUGUUGAAACGCUCCUUUCUCUUGGGGCACACUCAGAAGAAUCCAG